AAAACAUGUAGAAAGUAAAUACAAUAUAUUUGAAAGUGCAGAAUAAUAGAAUACAGGAUAGGAGGAAUUGCUUUAAUAAAUUUGUUACUAUUAGGAAAGAUGAAGAAGGCAUCUCAAGGAUUUGCCAUCGAGAAGCAGUUGAAAAGCUUCAUUGAUCUUCUCAAAUGGUAGUCUGUGAGUAAUAAACUCGUCUAAUUUGACCACCCCAGCCAUGCAUUGUUCAGCUAAAAAAGGGAGUUGGGAUUUUCCUUUGAAGUCACCAAAGACAGAAGCCACAAUCCUUCUGCCAUCGAACAGUUCCAUUGGAUGGAGUGAUAGCAAUUUUGGUGUCGGAUGAAUUCCUAAAACGAUUGCCAUGCCCCAUCCAUCAUGUGUGGAUAAAAAUGCCUCUCGAAGAACUUGCAUAUUUCCAGCACACUCAAAGCUAUAGUCCACGCCCCCCUCGCUCAUUUCCCUUAUUUUCUCAUGGACGGGCACAUCGAUUUCUUUGGGAUUGAUGAAGUCAGUAAUUCCAAUUGCUUCACCUUUAAUACGUUUUUCAGGGUUAAUAUCCACCCCUAUGAUCUUUGAGGCGCCUCUGGUCCGUGCCCCUUCAACAACGGCCAAACCAACAGCUCCUAAUCCAAAGACUGCCACCGUUUCCCCUGUUUGAACGUCAGCCGUGUUCCACGCAGCCCCUAGACCAGUGGAUACGCCGCAGCUAAGCAAGGUCAUCUUGUCAAGUGAGGCAUGAGGGUCAAUUUUGACUAAGCAAGCAGAAUCAACAACAGUGUAUUCGGUGAAUGUUGAAGUACUAAGAAAAUGAUAAAUGGGUAUGCCAUCCUUGUUCCUGAACCUGCAUUUUCCGUCACUUUCCAUCACACUUUUGAAUGGAUUGACGCGGAACUUGCCACACAAGUUGGUUUUCUUUGAUGAUUUGCAAUAUAUGCACUCUCCGCAUUCACCAUUGAAAAUCGCUACGACUUGAUCUCCCUCUUUCAUGUCAAUUACACCUUCUCCCACGCUCUCCACCACUCCCGAUGCUUCAUGUCCCAGAAUUCGAGGAUAAGCUCGUUGAGCUUCGCUCUCGCCUUUCCAAGCACUGAGAUCCGUGUGACAGAUGGAAGUAAAGAGAAUCUUAAUUCGGACCUCCAUUUUCUGAGGUGGAUCUACCUGCACUUGUUCUACCACCAACGGCUGCCCUGGACCAUACGCUACAGCAGCUCUGCAACUGAUGACCUUGCCCUUUGGAGCCAUGUUUCAAUUUUG
This 1248-nucleotide unclassified non-coding RNA is filed under the name Hevea brasiliensis (rubber tree). Lineage: Eukaryota; Viridiplantae; Streptophyta; Magnoliopsida; Malpighiales; Euphorbiaceae. The record is from RNAcentral.